UAAAAGCUUGGUCCUGACUUUACUAUCAGCUUUGAUCAAAUUUAUACAUGCAAGUCUCCGCAAUCCUGUGAGAAUGCCCUACCUCGCCCCCAAAAAGGGGAAAUAGGAGCAGGUAUUAGGCACAACCCUACGUUAGCCCACAACACCUUGCUCGGCCACACCCCCACGGGAACACAGCAGUAAUAAACAUUAAGCUAUAAGUGCAAGCUUGACUUAGUUAAGAUCAAGAGAGCCGGUUAAACUCGUGCCAGCCACCGCGGUUAUACGAGGGGCUCAAGUUGAUAGAUCACGGCGUAAAGAGUGGUUAAUUUAAAAUUAGACUAAAGCCGAACAUCUUCAGAGCUGUUAUAAGCACAUGAAGACAAGAAGCCCACUAACGAAAGUAGCUUUAAGACUAUUGAACCCACGAAAGCUAAGACACAAACUGGGAUUAGAUACCCCACUAUGCUUAGUCGUAAACAAAAGCAAUCCCCCACCCCACUGCUCGCCAGGGAACAACGAGCCCCAGCUUAAAACCCAAAGGACUUGGCGGUGCUUUAGACCCCCCUAGAGGAGCCUGUUCUAGAACCGAUACUCCCCGUUUAACCUCACCUUCUCUUGUUCUUCCCGCCUAUAUACCGCCGUCGUCAGCUUACCCUGUGAAGGAUUAAUAGUAAGCAAAAUUGGCAGAGCCCAAAACGUCAGGUCGAGGUGUAGCGUACGAGAAGGGAAGAAAUGGGCUACAUUUACUGAACCAGUAAAUACGGAAGAUGUAAUGAAAUCACACCUAAAGGAGGAUUUAGCAGUAAGAGAGGAGCAGAGUGCCUCUCUGAAACUGGCCCUGAAGCGCGCACACACCGCCCGUCACUCUCCCCGACUAACCACGCUCCAUACAUAAUAUGUUUGAAACACACCAAGGGGAGGCAAGUCGUAACAUGGUAAGCGUACCGGAAGGUGCGCUUGGAAAACC
RNAcentral lists this non-coding RNA (949 nucleotides) under Glossogobius olivaceus (urohaze-goby). RNAcentral's name for it is "12S ribosomal RNA". It matches the Rfam family "Bacterial small subunit ribosomal RNA". The record is from RNAcentral. Lineage: Eukaryota; Metazoa; Chordata; Actinopteri; Gobiiformes; Gobiidae.